This 253-nucleotide ribosomal RNA is filed under the name uncultured bacterium. RNAcentral describes it as "partial 16S ribosomal RNA". It matches the Rfam family "Bacterial small subunit ribosomal RNA", at positions 524 to 776 of the family's 1533-position model. The record is from RNAcentral.
UACGUAGGGUGCAAGCGUUGUCCGGAAUUAUUGGGCGUAAAGAGCUCGUAGGCGGUUUGUCGCGUCUGCUGUGAAAACCCGAGGCUCAACCUCGGGCCUGCAGUGGGUACGGGCAGACUAGAGUGCGGUAGGGGAGAUUGGAAUUCCUGGUGUAGCGAUGGAAUGCGCAGAUAUCAGGAGGAACACCAAUGGCGAAGGCAGAUCUCUGGGCCGUAACUGACGCUGAGGAGCGAAAGCGUGGGGAGCGAACAGG